Theobroma cacao (cacao) is the source of this 916-nucleotide non-coding RNA. The record is from RefSeq and is a predicted model, not a curated record. NCBI's taxonomy places the organism in Eukaryota, Viridiplantae, Streptophyta, Magnoliopsida, Malvales, Malvaceae.
UAAAGUCAUUGCUUUCUCUUGUUUUUUUGGGAGGAAACCUUGCUUCCCAUCUCUUUCAUCUUUCUAUUCCUUACCUGAGCUUCACUCCCAUCAAUUCUUCUUAGAUUAGUCAUGGGUAGAAUUAGGACAAGACCAAAAAACUUUUUAGCUCCCUGAUUUCAUCUCAUGGUGCCAUGGGUAGCAUGUUAUCACGCCAUUUCCGAACAUUCUCCAUGGGAGUGAGCUAAAUUGCUUUUCCAUGUCCUCUAUAUUCCUUACGAGUUGAAUAAAAAUUGGGCUGUCGUUCUCUUUUGCACUUCCACCAAAAAUGUAGACAUGGUUGAAGCAAAGGAAAUGUGAAACUAGGAUCUAUUGGAGCUUCAAGAUCCAAGUUGGAUUGAGGUCUUGGUGUUGGUUUGGUAAGGUAUCAAAAAAAGGUAUUUGAUGAAAGAAGAAUAUUAGUGGAAGAAGAAGACCAAUUUCACAAGUACAGAUUUUCACUACAUAUGUUUUGGUAUUUUGAGCAUGACUCUUUCUACAAAGCUCUAAAUGAGAUGAUUCUUGGACUAUUGGAAAGAUAAGAGAAAAAGCUAUAACUUUUAUGUUGACUACUUCACCCAGUUAGUCCUGGAAGAUGGUAAAAAAUUAUAUCAAAUUUGAAGAACUGCAGCAAUCCUAGAGCAAUUAUGAUUUUUGCUAAUUAAUGGGUCGAGGUCUCAACCCACGUAGUCUGAUGAGGAAAUCCUAAUUGAAAUUGAAUUCCUUCUUAACCCAACUUGGCCUAACUUAAAAACCCUAUAAAAAUAACUUUAUGGAAGACUUUUAAAAGGAGAGGAUGAAACACUAGAUUGAGAGUUGAAAAUCAAUUCACAAAAUUAUUAAAGAAAAGUCUCAUUGGAAGCCAAAGAAGAAAUUGAAGAAUUCAAGAAGAUUUGGA